AAAUUGAAGAGUUUGAUCAUGGCUCAGAUUGAACGCUGGCGGCAGGCCUAACACAUGCAAGUCGAGCGGUAGCACAGAGAGCUUGCUCUCGGGUGACGAGCGGCGGACGGGUGAGUAAUGUCUGGGAAACUGCCUGAUGGAGGGGGAUAACUACUGGAAACGGUAGCUAAUACCGCAUAACGUCGCAAGACCAAAGUGGGGGACCUUCGGGCCUCAUGCCAUCAGAUGUGCCCAGAUGGGAUUAGCUAGUAGGUGGGGUAACGGCUCACCUAGGCGACGAUCCCUAGCUGGUCUGAGAGGAUGACCAGCCACACUGGAACUGAGACACGGUCCAGACUCCUACGGGAGGCAGCAGUGGGGAAUAUUGCACAAUGGGCGCAAGCCUGAUGCAGCCAUGCCGCGUGUGUGAAGAAGGCCUUCGGGUUGUAAAGCACUUUCAGCGGGGAGGAAGGCGGUAAGGUUAAUAACCUCAUCGAUUGACGUUACCCGCAGAAGAAGCACCGGCUAACUCCGUGCCAGCAGCCGCGGUAAUACGGAGGGUGCAAGCGUU
This 550-nucleotide ribosomal RNA is filed under the name Klebsiella pneumoniae. Its description in RNAcentral is "bacterial SSU rRNA". It matches the Rfam family "Bacterial small subunit ribosomal RNA", at positions 1 to 542 of the family's 1533-position model. The record is from RNAcentral. Lineage: Bacteria; Pseudomonadati; Pseudomonadota; Gammaproteobacteria; Enterobacterales; Enterobacteriaceae.